UCUAGUAACGGCGAGUGAACAAGCAAAAGCUCAGUUUUGAAAGCCUGUUCUGCAGGCAUUGUAUUCUGAAGCCUAGAUUCUGGGAAACGGUGUUUAAGUCUUCUGGAAAGGAGCGCCACGGAGGGUGAUAGCCCCGUACGGCACUAACCCCAUUGUAGUUUCUAGGCGUGGAGUCGAGUUGUUUGGGAAUGCAGCUCAAAUGGGAGGUAUGCUCCUUCUAAAGCUAAAUAUGUGCGAGAGACCGAUAGCGAACAAGUACUGUGAAGGAAAGAUGAAAAGAACUUUGAAAAGAGAGUGAAAUAGGACGUGAAAUUGUUGAAAUGGAAGGGUAGGCCGCUAACAAUGUAGGACCGUGUCUGAGGGGAAGAUAAAAGCCACAGAACGUAGCUCUUCGGAGUGUUAUAGCUGUAGUCAAUGUUCCCACUUGGGCGCGAGGAUCUCAGGU
This 445-nucleotide ribosomal RNA is filed under the name Starmerella lactis-condensi. RNAcentral describes it as "partial large subunit ribosomal RNA". It matches the Rfam family "Eukaryotic large subunit ribosomal RNA", at positions 79 to 515 of the family's 3401-position model. Lineage: Eukaryota; Fungi; Ascomycota; Dipodascomycetes; Dipodascales; Trichomonascaceae. The record is from RNAcentral.